RNAcentral lists this long non-coding RNA (2164 nucleotides) under Helianthus annuus (common sunflower). RNAcentral's name for it is "hypothetical non coding rna". The record is from RNAcentral. Lineage: Eukaryota; Viridiplantae; Streptophyta; Magnoliopsida; Asterales; Asteraceae.
UUAGUUGGUAAUUGUUGAUGGGCCAGAUUACCCUAAUUAACUAAUUGGGUUUCCCCUUGGGUGUAUAUAAGGAGAUUACUAGAGAGGGAUUAGGGUUAGACCCUCAUAACAUCACACUAAAAUCGCCCUCCUCUCUCUCCAUUACUACGAGUUCUUCAACCCUAAAGAACUCGGUACUACCAUCAAGAAGAUACAUCCUAAAGGGGAACCAGACCAAUCUGACGAACAUGACGUCUACUUCCCUCUCUGGAGUGGUGACUGCUAAUCAGGGUUUAUGUUUUACCCAUGAUCUUAUGAUAUAAUCAACAUGUGGUAUCAGAGCGAUGUUGAUUAUAUAAAUUCAAUCAUUUAAUUCGAUUACAAAGUUUGCUUUGAUGGGAUAUACGGAUUCAAAUAACUUAAAUAAAUCUAAUGGAUAUAUUAUUUUUUCUGAAAUCAGUUUGCAUAUAAUCAACAUGUGAAGCCAUUAGUUUAAUAUAUUGAAAAUCUUUUGACUUUUUUGACUUUGCAAAAGAAUUCGUAAUCCCAGAAUGUGUUGAGAAUGAAUGAUAAUUGUUACCUUUUAAUAUUUUAUAAUUAUUCUAUCAUUCAUAUACAUAUAAAUUUCUGACGUGAUAUAUUCUAAUAUAUAUAUAUCUUGAUUCAAUUUUGAGUUAUCAAGAUUCUAAAGUAAUAAUUCAUCACCAGCUUUUCAGUGGGGUGAUUUAAUUUUUUUUUUUUUUUAGUGGCUUGAAGUUAUACAAUUAAUAUGUUUUUGAAUACUUGCCGCAUAGUGUAACGAAAUCAAUUUUUGUUGAUUAUUAUUUCAUUAUAUAUGGUCAUUAAUCUUUAAAGAAGAACCCUUUAUUUUCGGAUAACAUUAGGAUUUGAUUAUAUUUUCUAAAAUUAUAUAUCUUCGUCUCCAAGUUUCGAAUAAAAAUAUUAUCUUUAAAUUUAUAAUCGAAUAAUUAACUUGGAUAGAUACACAUAAGAUAUUUUGAAAUUAUAAUCAAAUCCAUUAAAAUUAGUUGAUUCAACCUUAUCACAAAACAGCUGUUAACGAGGUUGCUACUCGCAACCAUGAGGUUGCUACUCGCAACCAUGAGGUUGCUACUCGAAACCAUGAGGUUGCGACUCGCAACCAUAACGUGAUUGAUCGAAACCAUGAGGUUGCGACUCGCAACCAUAACGUGAUUAGUCGAGACCAAGGUUGCGACUCGAAACCAUAACAGCAUAACUCGAGACUAAGGUUGCGACUCGAAACCAUAACAGCAUAACUCGAGACUAAGGUUGCGACUCGAAACCAUAACAGCAUAACUCGAGAGUAAGGUUGCGACUCGAAACCAUAACAGCACGACUCGAGACCAUGACUCGAAAUCUCAAAACUUAGGCUGUUUAAUGUGAACUAAGACUUAGCUAAUUAAUAAUUGGUUUUGUAAAUACUUAGUUAAUUAAUAAGGAUCAAAUAAUCUUUUACAAAACCAAAAUGGCUUAACUUGAAUGAGCUUCUGAUGUAUCACUUCUGGCCAAAGCUGAUUUGAUGCAUCUAUUUAUUGUUCAAGUAUUAUAAAAGCUAUGUUAAGCAUGCAUUACAAACGUGAAAUGUCUUAAUUCUGGCCAAAGCUGAUUUAAUUCAUUUAUGUUUAGCAUGCUUGACAAGUGCAUAACUAAAGUGAUUGUCUCAUUUCUGGCCAAAGCUGAUUUGUCACGAUUACUUUGCACACAUACUUAAAUGAUUACACUUCUGGCCAAAGCUGAUUUGUCUUUGUUUAAGUAGGACUUUACUAAGUCUAUUAUUUUGAUGUUAGUAAUAGACAUAUCACAAUCUCUUCAUAUAAUGAUCCUUAUAUCAAUGAUCCUUACAUAAUUUUAUGAUCUUUUCGUCUGCUUUAUUUUAAGUACCCAUAAUUUUACUCACUAUAAUUUACUUCUACCUAUAUCUCAUCCACUCUAAUUCCUAAACCCAAAAUGUUUGCUUUAUUUAAAGUUUCUAUUGGAAUUAGCUCUUAAAUUAAAUCCUUGAUUAUUUCUUAAGACACGAUAAUCCUAUUGCUCUCUUCUGAUAAAGAUUAUAAAGAAGAAAAUUAGAGCAUGAUGAUCAGGACAAAUCGAACAUGAUGUCUCUUAUAAUAAUCAAGAACUCUCUAACAUAAUGCUAUCACUAAAGUUAUUCCAGAUUAAGAUU